CCUACGAGAGGCAGCAGUGGGGAAUAUUGCACAAUGGGGGAAACCCUGAUGCAGCGACGCCGCGUGAGUGAAGAAGUAAUUCGUUAUGUAAAGCUCUAUCAGCAGGGAAGAAAAUGACGGUACCUGAGUAAAAAGCCCCGGCUAACUACGUGCCAGCAGCCGCGGUAAUACGUAGGGGGCAAGAGUUAGCCGGAUUUACUGGGUGGAAAGUGAGCGUAGACGGCAGGGCAAGUCGGGAGUGAAAGGCGGGGGCUCAACCUCGGGACUGCUCAGGAAACUGUACGGCUAGAGUGCAUGAGAGGUAAGUGGAAUUCCAAGUGUAGCAGUGAAAUGCGUAGAUAUGAGGAGGAACACCGGUGGCGAAGGCGGCUUACUGGAACGUAACUGACGUUGAGGCGCGAAAGCGUGGGGAGCAAACAGGAUUAGAUACCCGAGUAGUC
This 440-nucleotide ribosomal RNA is filed under the name uncultured bacterium. Its description in RNAcentral is "partial 16S ribosomal RNA". It matches the Rfam family "Bacterial small subunit ribosomal RNA", at positions 338 to 795 of the family's 1533-position model. The record is from RNAcentral.